UAUUUUUGUUCAUGUCAAUUACUCUUAAAGCUGAGGGUAUUUUUGUCAGUAUUAAUUUUCUUAAAAUAGAUCAAAUUUACAUUCGUCAUACCACAAAUCAGAUCUAAACCAAUAAACCUCUCAUUUUCUUCUUCAUCAAGAUAAAACCAUAAACAUAAAAUGCUUCAAACUUUUUUAGCCACCAUCUCGCUCCCGCUGCUUCCGUCGUCAUUCGACCACCGUUACCAUCAGAUUGCUUCGUCUUCCUCUCAUCUAAUAAUUUCUGCCACCAUCGUCUUCUACAUUAACUAUUAGAGAUUGGUACACCGUCGUUUACAUCAGAUCUCUUCGUCUUCCUCUUCAUCGGUGACUUAUGUGUCGGUUAAUCGAGAUCAAGAUCCCUACGAGUUUUCCGAUAACAUUUUCAUUUAAACCAUCAACAAAUACAACAGAAUGAAAAUCAGAUAUGAGUAUGUGUAUACAGUGCUUUUCCGGUGACGUAUUUUGACGUUGUGUUCCGACGACAAUUUAAACUUACUGGGGAGUUCAAGACUACCUGGUGUGCUGUUUGGUCAUGAUUUCCGACAGAAGAAAGUGUUCUCUCGAAGGAUCGACAUGAAAUUUUUGAGAUCUAUUAUGGCGAAUAUUCAAGAGAUUAGAUAUAGAAAUUGAGAUUUGGAAGAAGCUCUCUUAGAUAUAGAAAUUGAGAUUUGGAAGAAGCUCUCUUAGAUAUAGAAAUUGAGAUUUGGAAGAAGCUCUCUUAGAUAUAGAAAUUGAGAUUUGGAAGAAGCUCUCUUAGAUAUAGAAAUUGAGAGCUUGAAGUUUACUUUUCGAUUGGAAAUGCUCGAUCAGUGUGCACAUGAUUAUUUUUUUCUUUUGAUUGGAUCGUGUAAUGACCCCAAAACACGAUAAAAUUAUUUCAUUUUGAAAAAGUACUACAGGAAUAAAAAUUGUUCCAAAACCAUCAUAAUGUAUAAAAAUCACAUCAUUAGAGUACAAUAUCAAAAUGCAGAAAUAAGGGAAGUGAAUGAUGUGCCAUUGCGCCGGGCCAUUCCUCUUAGUAUCGAAAGUACCGGAAACCAUAAACACAAUCUGUAAGAAAACACUUAGUAAGUUUUCCAAAAAGUACCACAUGUCAACAUACAAAUUAAUGUUAUAGGUCAAAUCAUAGUCUUACAUAUGAUUCUUGUCGCAG
This 1174-nucleotide long non-coding RNA is filed under the name Lactuca sativa (garden lettuce). RNAcentral's name for it is "long non-coding RNA (LSAT_LNC008053)". Lineage: Eukaryota; Viridiplantae; Streptophyta; Magnoliopsida; Asterales; Asteraceae. The record is from RNAcentral.